RNAcentral lists this ribosomal RNA (402 nucleotides) under Desulforamulus hydrothermalis Lam5 = DSM 18033. Its description in RNAcentral is "bacterial SSU rRNA". It matches the Rfam family "Bacterial small subunit ribosomal RNA", at positions 1032 to 1433 of the family's 1533-position model. The record is from RNAcentral. Lineage: Bacteria; Bacillati; Bacillota; Clostridia; Eubacteriales; Peptococcaceae.
AGACAGGUGGUGCAUGGUUGUCGUCAGCUCGUGUCGUGAGAUGUUGGGUUAAGUCCCGCAACGAGCGCAACCCCUAACAUUAGUUGCCAGCGAGUGAAGUCGGGAACUCUAAUGUGACUGCCGUUGACAAAACGGAGGAAGGUGGGGAUGACGUCAAAUCAUCAUGCCCCUUAUGUCCUGGGCUACACACGUACUACAAUGGCCGGUACAGACGGAAGCGAAGCCGUGAGGCGGAGCGAAACCGAGAAAGCCGGUCUCAGUUCGGAUUGUAGUCUGCAACUCGACUACAUGAAGUCGGAAUCGCUAGUAAUCGCAGGUCAGCAUACUGCGGUGAAUACGUUCCCGGGCCUUGUACACACCGCCCGUCACACCACGAAAGCUGACAACACCCGAAGCCGGUGA